Molecule: ribosomal RNA, 1402 nt
Filed under: bacterium KR 1996/1_123a
Lineage: Bacteria
Description: bacterial SSU rRNA
Rfam family: Bacterial small subunit ribosomal RNA
Source: RNAcentral
AGUCGAGCGAACAGAUAAGGAGCUUGCUCCUUUGACGUUAGCGGCGGACGGGUGAGUAACACGUGGGUAACCUACCUAUAAGACUGGGAUAACUUCGGGAAACCGGAGCUAAUACCGGAUAACAUUUGGAACCGCAUGGUUCUAAAGUGAAAGAUGGUUUUGCUAUCACUUAUAGAUGGACCCGCGCCGUAUUAGCUAGUUGGUAAGGUAACGGCUUACCAAGGCAACGAUACGUAGCCGACCUGAGAGGGUGAUCGGCCACACUGGAACUGAGACACGGUCCAGACUCCUACGGGAGGCAGCAGUAGGGAAUCUUCCGCAAUGGGCGAAAGCCUGACGGAGCAACGCCGCGUGAGUGAUGAAGGGUUUCGGCUCGUAAAACUCUGUUAUUAGGGAAGAACAAACGUGUAAGUAACUGUGCACGUCUUGACGGUACCUAAUCAGAAAGCCACGGCUAACUACGUGCCAGCAGCCGCGGUAAUACGUAGGUGGCAAGCGUUAUCCGGAAUUAUUGGGCGUAAAGCGCGCGUAGGCGGUUUCUUAAGUCUGAUGUGAAAGCCCACGGCUCAACCGUGGAGGGUCAUUGGAAACUGGGAAACUUGAGUGCAGAAGAGGAAAGUGGAAUUCCAUGUGUAGCGGUGAAAUGCGCAGAGAUAUGGAGGAACACCAGUGGCGAAGGCGACUUUCUGGUCUGUAACUGACGCUGAUGUGCGAAAGCGUGGGGAUCAAACAGGAUUAGAUACCCUGGUAGUCCACGCCGUAAACGAUGAGUGCUAAGUGUUAGGGGGUUUCCGCCCCUUAGUGCUGCAGCUAACGCAUUAAGCACUCCGCCUGGGGAGUACGACCGCAAGGUUGAAACUCAAAGGAAUUGACGGGGACCCGCACAAGCGGUGGAGCAUGUGGUUUAAUUCGAAGCAACGCGAAGAACCUUACCAAAUCUUGACAUCCUUUGAAAACUCUAGAGAUAGAGCCUUCCCCUUCGGGGGACAAAGUGACAGGUGGUGCAUGGUUGUCGUCAGCUCGUGUCGUGAGAUGUUGGGUUAAGUCCCGCAACGAGCGCAACCCUUAAGCUUAGUUGCCAUCAUUAAGUUGGGCACUCUAGGUUGACUGCCGGUGACAAACCGGAGGAAGGUGGGGAUGACGUCAAAUCAUCAUGCCCCUUAUGAUUUGGGCUACACACGUGCUACAAUGGACAAUACAAAGGGCAGCUAAACCGCGAGGUCAUGCAAAUCCCAUAAAGUUGUUCUCAGUUCGGAUUGUAGUCUGCAACUCGACUACAUGAAGCUGGAAUCGCUAGUAAUCGUAGAUCAGCAUGCUACGGUGAAUACGUUCCCGGGUCUUGUACACACCGCCCGUCACACCACGAGAGUUUGUAACACCCGAAGCCGGUGGAGUAACCAUU